Molecule: long non-coding RNA, 1016 nt
Organism: Fukomys damarensis (Damara mole-rat)
Lineage: Eukaryota; Metazoa; Chordata; Mammalia; Rodentia; Bathyergidae
Source: Ensembl
UAGAAGGGAAUACUUAGGGCAGUCAGGGUCAUUGUUGGCUUUAUGACACCAUCUGGCCAUUAUUUUGUAUGCUGAGGAUCCUACAGAGUGACGAGACAGAGUUUCUGUUCUAGGAGCUUCCAGUUCAGUUUGGGAGAUGUGCAGCACCAUGAAGCACCAGAUAUUGGCCUGUUCUAAGUGGCAGACAAAAAAACACAGGCAAGGAGAUCAAAGGAGGGGCUGUCACACAGGCUGCGGGAGUCUGGGAACACUUCAGGGAAACCGACCUCACGCUGGGCUUUGAAGGCAGCUGGGACACGAACUCAGGAACUGAAAAGAUACUCUUGGAACAUUCCAGUGAAGUGUGUGGGAGAAGGAAAUGGACCAGGUGGGAUCAAAUUCUCUUAGAUCCUUUGUGGGCUGCUCCUUUGAACAAAAACCUCUGAAGAAACCGUUGGGAAAUGAGACUAAGUCAAAACUGAACUACAAAGAGUCAAAGCACCAAAGAGAUUGCUUGGAUGGGAUCCAGCUAUUGCCUGCAAAACCUGUGAACUACAAAGGACAGAACCAGCUGGUGAAAUUUAUUCCUAGAAAAUCUGACGGGAGUCUCCCAUUUCACAGCAACCGAAGACAAUGGUUUAAAAGCUUUCCUUAAAUGCAUUCUCUCUCAUUUCUGGUUUUCAUUUGAAAGGAAGGGGAUUUCCCUCUGAGAGAUUUCAUUAGAAAGACAGAAACAACAGCUCUUCUUCCCAAACCACACUUCUCAGUUUCUAAUUCCUUAAAAGCGCAGAUGUCUUUGUUCUGGGUCUCAGAAUCUUAGUGGUAAAGGAAGACAGACUGGUUUGCUGUUGAGAAAAAGGGGGUGAUUGGAGAACUGGAAGCACUACCCUAAAAUUCUUAACCAAACAGUCUGGAAGAAGUGUCUGGUUUCUAACCCAUUUCUUAUUUUUAUAUUUCAUGGAAAGAAUCACUUAAUUUGUUCAAAGAGUUGAUUCACAAAGUAUCACUAACUCAUUUUUUUCCCUCCUGACUUGUCU